GAUGAACGCUGGCGGCGUGCCUAAUACAUGCAAGUCGAGCGAACAGACGAGGAGCUUGCUCCUCUGACGUUAGCGGCGGACGGGUGAGUAACACGUGGAUAACCUACCUAUAAGACUGGGAUAACUUCGGGAAACCGGAGCUAAUACCGGAUAAUAUAUUGAACCGCAUGGUUCAAUAGUGAAAGACGGUUUUGCUGUCACUUAUAGAUGGAUCCUCGCCGCAUUAGCUAGUUGGUAAGGUAACGGCUUACCAAGGCAACGAUGCGUAUCCGACCUGAGAGGGUGAUCGGCCACACUGGAACUGAGACACGGUCCAGACUCCUACGGGAGGCAGCAGUAGGGAAUCUUCCGCAAUGGGCGAAAGCCUGACGGAGCAACGCCGCGUGAGUGAUGAAGGUCUUCGGAUCGUAAAACUCUGUUAUUAGGGAAGAACAAAUGUGUAAGUAACUAUGCACGUCUUGACGGUACCUAAUCAGAAAGCCACGGCUAACUACGUG
This 497-nucleotide ribosomal RNA is filed under the name uncultured bacterium. Its description in RNAcentral is "partial 16S ribosomal RNA". It matches the Rfam family "Bacterial small subunit ribosomal RNA", at positions 28 to 507 of the family's 1533-position model. The record is from RNAcentral.